GAAGCUCCUGAUUCUGAAGGUCCGACCACUUCUCCGACAACUUCCCUAAAUCCUAAUGACGAGGAAAUUCCCGGAUCCGACGACAGAGGAAACCCGAACCGGUUCACUCCACCCCCGUCAGCCUCGUUGCCUUCCUCUUUGCACUCUCUCAAGCUUUCGGUUCUUCUAUUUGCUUUCGUCUUUGAGAUUAUCAAAUUCUUCUAAUUAGAUAGCAAUUCCUUAUUAGGAUGAUGUUAUUAUUUCCUUUCCUAUUCUAUUUUACCUGAUUCUGGUUAAAAUAAUAUAAUGUAUUGAAGUUUUUGUUGUAUUUGGUGUACCUGUAUUUAAUAGUCCAAUUAAUAAAACAGUUUUCAUAAUUUUUUA
Molecule: non-coding RNA, 363 nt
Organism: Camelina sativa (false flax)
Lineage: Eukaryota; Viridiplantae; Streptophyta; Magnoliopsida; Brassicales; Brassicaceae
Source: RefSeq, a predicted model, not a curated record